ACUUAAAUGAAUUGACGGGGGCCCGCACAAGCAGUGGAUUAUGUGGUUUAAUUCGAAGCAACGCGAAGAACCUUACCAGGUCUUGACAUCCAACUAACGAAGCAGAGAUGCGUUAGGUGCCCUUCGGGGAAAGUUGAGACAGGUGGUGCAUGGUUGUCGUCAGCUCGUGUCGUGAGAUGUUGGGUUAAGUCCCGCAACGAGCGCAACCCCUGCCAUUAGUUGCUACGCAAGAGCACUCUAAUGGGACCGCUAUCGACAAGAUGGAGGAAGGUGGGGACGACGUCAAAUCAUCAUGCCCCUUAUGACCUGGGCUACACACGUAAUACAAUGGCCGUUAACAACAGGAAGCGAAGGCGCGAGCCGGAGCAAACCCCAAAA
Molecule: ribosomal RNA, 378 nt
Filed under: uncultured Oscillospiraceae bacterium
Lineage: Bacteria; Bacillati; Bacillota; Clostridia; Eubacteriales; Oscillospiraceae
Description: bacterial SSU rRNA
Rfam family: Bacterial small subunit ribosomal RNA
Source: RNAcentral